GUCCACGCCAUAAACGAUGAAUACUAGGUGUUGGCGGUGUUAAAACCGUCGGUACCGCAGCUAACGCGUUAAGUAUUCCGCCUGGGGAGUACGACCGCAAGGUUAAAACUCAAAGGAAUUGACGGGGGCCCGCACAAGCAGCGGAGCGUGUGGUUUAAUUCGAUGCAACGCGAAACACCUUACCUGGAUUUGACGUGUGCGUAGUAGUGAAGCGAAAGCGGAACGACCCUUCGGGGAGCGCAUGCAGGUGCUGCAUGGCUGUCGU
RNAcentral lists this ribosomal RNA (265 nucleotides) under uncultured bacterium. RNAcentral's name for it is "partial 16S ribosomal RNA". It matches the Rfam family "Bacterial small subunit ribosomal RNA", at positions 793 to 1055 of the family's 1533-position model. The record is from RNAcentral.